RNAcentral lists this ribosomal RNA (582 nucleotides) under Macrophomina phaseolina. RNAcentral describes it as "eukaryotic LSU rRNA". It matches the Rfam family "Eukaryotic large subunit ribosomal RNA", at positions 36 to 633 of the family's 3401-position model. The record is from RNAcentral. Lineage: Eukaryota; Fungi; Ascomycota; Dothideomycetes; Botryosphaeriales; Botryosphaeriaceae.
AAGCAUAUCAAUAAGCGGAGGAAAAGAAACCAACAGGGAUUGCCUUAGUAACGGCGAGUGAAGCGGCAACAGCUCAAAUUUGAAAGCUGGCUCCUUCGGAGUCCGCGUUGUAAUUUGUAGAGGAUGAUUCGGCGAGGGCUCCCGCCUAAGUCCCCUGGAACGGGGCGUCAUAGAGGGUGAGAAUCCCGUAUGCGGUGGGUUGCCUUAGCCAUGUGAAUCUCCUUCGACGAGUCGAGUUGUUUGGGAAUGCAGCUCUAAAUGGGAGGUAAAUUUCUUCUAAAGCUAAAUACCGGCCAGAGACCGAUAGCGCACAAGUAGAGUGAUCGAAAGAUGAAAAGCACUUUGGAAAGAGAGUUAAAAAGUACGUGAAAUUGUUGAAAGGGAAGCGCUUGCAGCCAGACUUGUCCGCAGUUGCUCAACCGGUCUCCUGACCGGUGUACUCUUCUGCGGCCAGGCCAGCAUCAGUUCGGGCGGUCGGAUAAAGGCCCUGGGAAUGUAGCUCCUCUCGGGGAGUGUUAUAGCCCAGGGUGGAAUGCGGCCAGCCUGGACUGAGGAUCUCGCUUCGGCUAGGAUGCUGGCGUA